Molecule: long non-coding RNA, 341 nt
Organism: Dromaius novaehollandiae (emu)
Lineage: Eukaryota; Metazoa; Chordata; Aves; Casuariiformes; Dromaiidae
Exons: 3
Source: RefSeq, a predicted model, not a curated record
UUGCUAGCCUUGAGCUAUAGGCACUGACAUUCAGAACCUCGGGGAACGACUAUAUGCUGCCGUGAAGAACUACAGACCACCACCGCCCUCAGACCUCUGUAAGUUAUCACAUGUCGAGAGUGGCCAGGAGAAUCCAAAUGCCAGCAGAAAGGUUCUCUGCCUGGUCCUGAUGAGGAGCCUUCGGCCGUAGGAAGGUUGGCAGCGUCCUUACUGGACUUGCUGCUGUUCUGAGGGCCAGCAACUCAAAGAGGAGCAGCUCAGCCCAUUUCGUUGCUUUCAGUGAUCCUGUUCUGAGGAAGCAUGUAAGUACAGAAGGGGUCUGGGAGGGUUUUCAAACAAGA